CCUACGGGAGGCAGCAGUGGGGAAUUUUGGACAAUGGGCGCAAGCCUGAUCCAGCAAUGCCGCGUGAGUGAAGAAGGCCUUCGGGUUGUAAAGCUCUUUUGUCAGGGAAGAAACGGUGAGCUCUAAUACAGUUUGCUAAUGACGGUACCUGAAGAAUAAGCACCGGCUAACUACGUGCCAGCAGCCGCGGUAAUACGUAGGGUGCAAGCGUUAAUCGGAAUUACUGGGCGUAAAGCGUGCGCAGGCGGUUUUGUAAGUCUGUCGUGAAAUCCCCGGGCUCAACCUGGGAAUGGCGAUGGAGACUGCAAGGCUAGAGUUUGGCAGAGGGGGGUAGAAUUCCACGUGUAGCAGUGAAAUGCGUAGAUAUGUGGAGGAACACCGAUGGCGAAGGCAGCCCCCUGGGUCAAAACUGACGCUCAUGCACGAAAGCGUGGGGAGCAAACAGGAUUAGAUACCCUGGUAGUCCACGCCCUAAACGAUGUCUACUAGUUGUCGGGUCUUAAUUGACUUGGUAACGCAGCUAACGCGUGAGUAGACCGCCUGGGGAGUACGGUGCAAGAUUAAAACUCAAAGGAAUUGACGGCGNGAGAGAGCGACGACGACGACGAGGGAGGAGG
RNAcentral lists this ribosomal RNA (617 nucleotides) under uncultured bacterium. Its description in RNAcentral is "bacterial SSU rRNA". It matches the Rfam family "Bacterial small subunit ribosomal RNA", at positions 338 to 951 of the family's 1533-position model. The record is from RNAcentral.